GAUGAAUGCUGGCGGCGUGCCUAACACAUGCAAGUCGAGCGGCAGCGAGGGGUGCUUGCACCCUGUCGGCGAGCGGCGAACGGCUGAGUAACGCGUAGGAAUUUGCCCCAAAGUGAGGAACAACUGCCCGAAAGGGUAGCUAAUGCCGCAUAUGGUCUUCGGAUUAAAGGAUUUAUCCGCUUUGGGAGAAGCCUGCGUUGGAUUAGGUUGUUGGUAGGGUAAUGGCCUACCAAGCCGACGAUCCAUAGCUGGUCUGAGAGGAUGAUCAGCCAGACUGGAACUGAGACACGGUCCAGACUCCUACGGGAGGCAGCAGUGAGGAAUCUUCCACAAUGGGCGAAAGCCUGAUGGAGCAACGCCGCGUGAAGGAUGAAGGCCUUCGGGUUGUAAACUUCUUUUAUGAGUGAAGAAUAUGACGGUAACUCAUGAAUAAGCACCGGCUAACUACGUG
RNAcentral lists this ribosomal RNA (451 nucleotides) under uncultured bacterium. RNAcentral's name for it is "partial 16S ribosomal RNA". It matches the Rfam family "Bacterial small subunit ribosomal RNA", at positions 28 to 507 of the family's 1533-position model. The record is from RNAcentral.